CGAACGCUGGCGGCGUGCUUAACACAUGCAAGUCGAACGCGAAAGUUUUCUUCGGGAAGCGAGUAGAGUGGCGCACGGGUGAGUAACGCGUAAGUAAUCUACCCUGGUGUUUGGGAUAACCCACCGAAAGGUGAGCUAAUACCGGAUACGCUGAUUUAUCAGGAAAGGUGGCCUCUUCAUGAAAGCUACUGCAUUAGGAGGAGCUUGCGUACCAUUAGCUAGUUGGUAGGGUAAUGGCCUACCAAGGCAACGAUGGUUAGCGGGUCUGAGAGGAUGAUCCGCCACACUGGAACUGGAACACGGACCAGACUCCUACGGGAGGCAGCAGUGAGGAAUAUUGCGCAAUGGGGGAAACCCUGACGCAGCGACGCCGCGUGAAUGAUGAAGGCCUUCGGGUCGUAAAAUUCUGUCAGAUGGGAAGAAGUGUUACAUGUUUAAUAUACAUGUAAUUUGACGGUACCAUCAAAGGAAGCACCGGCUAACUCC
Molecule: ribosomal RNA, 486 nt
Filed under: uncultured bacterium
Lineage: Bacteria
Description: bacterial SSU rRNA
Rfam family: Bacterial small subunit ribosomal RNA
Source: RNAcentral